Molecule: small nuclear RNA, 107 nt
Filed under: Sorex araneus (European shrew)
Lineage: Eukaryota; Metazoa; Chordata; Mammalia; Eulipotyphla; Soricidae
Source: RNAcentral
GUGGUCGCUUCAGCAGCACAUAUACUAAAAUUGGAACUGUAUAGAGAAGAUUAGCAUGACCCCUGUGCAAGGAGGACACACAAAUUUGUGAAGCGUUCCAUAUUUCU